UGCGGAAGGAUCAUUACAAUCAGUAGAUUUCUACUGUACGACGGGGCUGUAAGACUGUGUUACAGCAGCGAGCCCCUGGUUCAACCCUUGUCUUUUUGCGUACUCAUGUUUCCUUGGUGGACUCGUCUGCCAGCAGGACAAUCAUACAACCCUUUAAUUUUCAAUCAGCGUCUGAAUUACUAUAAUAAUUACAACUUUCAACAACGGAUCUCUUGGUUCUGGCAUCGAUGAAGAACGCAGCGAAAUGCGAUAAGUAGUGUGAAUUGCAGAAUUCAGUGAAUCAUCGAAUCUUUGAACGCACAUUGCGCCCCUUGGUAUUCCAUGGGGCAUGCCUGUUCGAGCGUCAUUUGUACUCUCAAGCUUUGCUUGGUGUUGGGUGUUUGUCCUUCCCUAUGUGUUUGGACUCGCCUCAAAAAUAUUGGCAGCCGGUGUAUUGGCAUUGAAGCGCAGCACAAUUUGCGGUUCUAAGCUCCUAUCACUGGCACCCAUUAAGACUAUUAAACACGCU
RNAcentral lists this unclassified non-coding RNA (508 nucleotides) under Tintelnotia sp. 1. Its description in RNAcentral is "sequence contains ITS1, 5.8S rRNA gene, ITS2". The stretch from base 193 to 346 matches the Rfam family "5.8S ribosomal RNA". The record is from RNAcentral. Lineage: Eukaryota; Fungi; Ascomycota; Dothideomycetes; Pleosporales; Phaeosphaeriaceae.